GCCUACGGGGGGCAGCAGUAGGGAAUCUUCCACAAUGGACGAAAGUCUGAUGGAGCAACGCCGCGUGAGUGAAGAAGGGUUUCGGCUCGUAAAGCUCUGUUGGUAGUGAAGAAAGAUAGAGGUGGUAACUGGCCUUUAUUUGACGGUAAUUACUUAGAAAGUCACGGCUAACUACGUGCCAGCAGCCGCGGUAAUACGUAGGUGGCAAGCGUUGUCCGGAUUUAUUGGGCGUAAAGUGAGUGCAGGCGGUU
Molecule: ribosomal RNA, 251 nt
Filed under: uncultured bacterium
Lineage: Bacteria
Description: partial 16S ribosomal RNA
Rfam family: Bacterial small subunit ribosomal RNA
Source: RNAcentral